AUUUUAUACAGAUUCCUACAAAUAUAAUAAAUUGUAAAUAUAUUCCUAUAAAAUUCAACUUUCAUAUGUUGUCCCUUACAAAAGUUAUAAUAUUUUAAAUAUGUUCAUCUGAUUUGUUAUCGUUAAAAUACUAUUUAUUUUAUAAGUGAAAUGGUUCUUUUGAAAUUACAAAUAUGUCCCUCUAAAAGUUCCAACUAUUAAUUAAAGAAAGGUAAAAAUGUUAAUUAAAGAAAGGUAAAAAUGUCAAUUCACUUUAUUAAGUAACUAAGGUUAAGUAUUUUAUCUAUAAUUAACUAAUUUUUUCUAACGGAUCCUAACAGCAAAAAUAUAUUCAAAAAUAUUAGGACUUUUAUAGGGACAAUAUAUAAAAGUAGAAAUUUAUAAGGAUAUAUUUAUAAUUUAUUAUGUUUAUAAGGACCUGUAUGAAAUUAACCCUUCUUUUAUUUAUCAGAGAGUUCAAAAUAUUGAUGUUGAUGCAGGUAUAUAUAGUAUUUAGGGCAUAAUGUGGGCUGUUGCAUGACCACUCCCAUAUUAUUCUAUGUUAAAAAAUAGAAUUAAUUACAUACAAUUUUCUAUAAACAUAUUGAAUAAUAGAUGCAUUUUUCUACAAAAUUAUUUUUAUAAAUGUUCUACCGUUUUCAAAUAUACUCCUUCUAUUAGGAUCCGUUAAAAAAUAUAGUUAAAUAUAAGUAAAAUACUUAAUACUGAUUAGUAAAUGAUUAAAUUGAUCUUUUUACCUCUCUUAUAUAAUUGGGUAAAAUGUUUUUUUACGAGGAUAUUGCUACAUAAUUCUAAUAGUCGGGGCUUUUGGAGAGAUAUAUUUAUAAGAACAAAAAUAUAAUUUUACUUAUUUACUGUUGAGAAAUAAACAAUGAUCUAACAGUAACAAACCAGAUAGACAAAUAUGAAUGUCACUGAGCUUUUGUAAAAAUAAAAAUGAAAAGUUAAAUUUUACAUAAAUAUAUUUGCUAUUCAGUAUAUCUAUAUAGUAUAUAUAAUUAACGGUUCGUUCACAUCAUAAAGGUGGCUUCUCAAGGAGCCACAACUCCAUUAUAGCCCCUAGCCAAUAAGAACAUGCUAUGCACUCGAUAGAAAUUUUCGACUCGCAUAGACUAGAUAUAAAAUAUGAAUAAAAAAUAAAUUUCUAUAAUAUAAUAAAUUAUUAAAAUAUUUUAUAUUUUAUAUUAUAUUAUACUAUAUUAUAUUAUAUUUUAUAUUACUAACUAUUAGGUAUUUUAUCAANUAUAUAUAUAUAUAUAUAUAUAUAUAUAUAUAUAUUUUGAGAGAAAGGUAGCAUGCCACCCGCUUCGUUUAUUUCAUUUAGAAAUAAACUUAGCUGGAAAUGUGAAUCAACUAGGAUUCGAACUUGGGUCUCGGGUAUCAACCACUAAGCCCUUUUGCCAUUUGCGCUAGGAACGGUCGGUCAUCUAAUAUAGUUAUGAUGUAUGAAAUAUUAGUAUAUAUUAGGUGCAAGCAAAAAUU
Molecule: long non-coding RNA, 1482 nt
Filed under: Ananas comosus (pineapple)
Lineage: Eukaryota; Viridiplantae; Streptophyta; Magnoliopsida; Poales; Bromeliaceae
Description: long non-coding RNA (ACOM_LNC043062)
Source: RNAcentral